AGAGUUUGAUCAUGGCUCAGAAUCAACGCUGGCGGCGUGCCUAACACAUGCAAGUCGAACGCGAAAGGGGAGCAAUCCCUGAGUAGAGUGGCAAACGGGUGAGUAACACGUGGGUGACCUGCCUCAGAGUGGGGGAUAACGUCCCGAAAGGGACGCUAAUACCGCAUAACAUCCUGCCUUUGGAAAGGCGGAGAUCAAAGCCGGGGAUCGCAAGACCUGGCGCUUGGAGAGGGGCCCGCGUCUGAUUAGCUAGUUGGUAGGGUAAUGGCCUACCAAGGCAACGAUCAGUAUCCGGCCUGAGAGGGCGGACGGACACACUGGGACUGAGACACGGCCCAGACUCCUACGGGAGGCAGCAGUGGGGAAUUGUUCGCAAUGGGCGCAAGCCUGACGACGCAACGCCGCGUGGAGGAUGAAGAUCUUCGGGUCGUAAACUCCUGUCGAGCGGGAAGAACACUUUCCGGGUGAACAGCCCGGGGGAAUGACGGUACCGAGAGAAGAAGCCCCGGCUAACUCCGUGCCAGCAGCCGCGGUAAUUC
This 539-nucleotide ribosomal RNA is filed under the name uncultured bacterium. RNAcentral's name for it is "bacterial SSU rRNA". It matches the Rfam family "Bacterial small subunit ribosomal RNA", at positions 8 to 526 of the family's 1533-position model. The record is from RNAcentral.